AAUCAACGCUGGCGGCGUGCCUCAGACAUGCAAGUCGAACGCGAAAGGUUCCUUCGGGGACCGAGUAGGGUGGCGCACGGGUGAGUAACACGUAGGUAAUUUGCCUUUGGGUGGGGAAUAACUCAGGGAAACUUGAGCUAAUACCGCAUAAUGCAGCGGCUCGACAUCGAGACAGUUGUUAAAGCGGGGGAUUCGCAAGAACCUCGCGCCUAAAGAGAAGCCUGCAGCAGAUAGCUAGUUGGUAAGGUAAUGGCUUACCAAGGCGACGAUCUGUAACCGGCCUGAGAGGGCGGUCGGUCACACUGACACUGACAUACGGGUCAGACUCCUACGGGAGGCAGCAGUCGGGAAUUUUGGGCAAUGGGCGAAAGCCUGACCCA
RNAcentral lists this ribosomal RNA (380 nucleotides) under uncultured bacterium. Its description in RNAcentral is "bacterial SSU rRNA". It matches the Rfam family "Bacterial small subunit ribosomal RNA", at positions 32 to 390 of the family's 1533-position model. The record is from RNAcentral.